RNAcentral lists this ribosomal RNA (254 nucleotides) under uncultured bacterium. RNAcentral describes it as "partial 16S ribosomal RNA". It matches the Rfam family "Bacterial small subunit ribosomal RNA", at positions 524 to 776 of the family's 1533-position model. The record is from RNAcentral.
UACGAGGGGUGCAAGCGUUAUUCGGAAUCAUUGGGCGUAAAGGGUGCGUAGGCGGCAUAUUAAGUCAGUUGUUAAAUUUCCCGGCCUAACCGGGAGUAUGCGGUUGAUACUGAUGUGCUAGAGGGUGGAAGAGAGAAGUGGAAUUCUCGGAGUAGCGGUAAAAUGCGUAGAUCUCGAGAGGAACACCGAUGGCGAAGGCAGCUUCUUGGUCCACAUCUGACGCUGAGUGCACGAAAGCGUGGGGAGCAAACAGG